GUCUUCAAGGGUUUGGAUAACUUUCAGCCUUUGUUUGAAUCUCAUUUGUUCGAUCAAAUCUGCUCGGAUACUUCCAAAUUUCUCAUAGGAAGAUCUGAUCAAUCUGAAGAUAUCCACCUCGGGAUAAGGCUCUACAUCAUCACUGAGCAGUGAGUGAAGGUGAGGAAUGGGUGGAAGAGUGCUGUCCUUAUUAGUGACACUGUCCAAAUACCUGGUGAGAAAGA
This 224-nucleotide long non-coding RNA is filed under the name Gallus gallus (chicken). Lineage: Eukaryota; Metazoa; Chordata; Aves; Galliformes; Phasianidae. The record is from RNAcentral.